ACGUUGAUAGGCCGGGUGUAUAAGCGCAGCGAUGCGUUGAGCUAACCGGUACUAAUGAACCGUGAGGCUUAACCUUACAACGCCGAAG
Molecule: ribosomal RNA, 88 nt
Filed under: Salmonella enterica subsp. enterica serovar Poona
Lineage: Bacteria; Pseudomonadati; Pseudomonadota; Gammaproteobacteria; Enterobacterales; Enterobacteriaceae
Description: partial 23S ribosomal RNA
Rfam family: Bacterial large subunit ribosomal RNA (bases 1-76)
Source: RNAcentral